This 414-nucleotide long non-coding RNA is filed under the name Daucus carota (carrot). Its description in RNAcentral is "long non-coding RNA (DCAR_LNC004384)". Lineage: Eukaryota; Viridiplantae; Streptophyta; Magnoliopsida; Apiales; Apiaceae. The record is from RNAcentral.
GCGGAUAAGCCCAACAAUAAGGUCAUAGGGCAUCAACAAAAUAGAUGAAAAACAUCAUUUAUCAGCUAUUCAGCUUUACAGGCAUCACAGAAGGCAUUCAAAUUAAUUCCUGUUUUUUUGAAGUGCAUGGUGAUACACAAUUAGAACAUGAUCUACAAGCAAAAUCCAGCACCUUAGAUGAUAAAGAGAGUUUCCAUAAAUUUUGUCAGAAUACACUGGAUCGAGUUGUAUACUAUGGCUAGAAUAAGCUGCUUGGCAGACAUAGCAUAAGGCAUAAGCUACAUCAAGCUUUAUAUUGUGUAUUUACCUAGGAAGCCAUACUGUAUCAAUCAACACUUGUCCACCUAUUCUGAAUUUGGGAAUCAUCUGCAAACAAUCUUGCUUAGCAACAAAGUUUCGAAGUGGUUACAAGUG